Molecule: transfer RNA, 73 nt
Filed under: Ictidomys tridecemlineatus (thirteen-lined ground squirrel)
Lineage: Eukaryota; Metazoa; Chordata; Mammalia; Rodentia; Sciuridae
Description: Spermophilus tridecemlineatus (thirteen-lined ground squirrel) tRNA
Rfam family: tRNA
About the family: Transfer RNA (tRNA) molecules are approximately 80 nucleotides in length. Their secondary structure includes four short double-helical elements and three loops (D, anti-codon, and T loops). Further hydrogen bonds mediate the characteristic L-shaped molecular structure. tRNAs have two regions of fundamental functional importance: the anti-codon, which is responsible for specific mRNA codon recognition, and the 3' end, to which the tRNAs corresponding amino acid is attached (by aminoacyl-tRNA synthetases). tRNAs cope with the degeneracy of the genetic code in two manners: having more than one tRNA (with a specific anti-codon) for a particular amino acid; and 'wobble' base-pairing, i.e. permitting non-standard base-pairing at the 3rd anti-codon position.
Source: Rfam by way of RNAcentral
GGGGAUGUAGCUCAGUGGUAGAGAGCAACAAUCUUGCAUGUGGAAGGCCCUGGGUUCCAUCCAAGCAUCACCA